Molecule: unclassified non-coding RNA, 343 nt
Filed under: soil metagenome
Description: partial contains 5.8S ribosomal RNA, internal transcribed spacer 2, and large subunit ribosomal RNA
Rfam family: 5.8S ribosomal RNA (bases 1-120)
Source: RNAcentral
GAUGAAGAACGUAGCGAAAUGCGAUAAGUAAUGUGAAUUGCAGAAUUCAGUGAAUCAUCGAAUCUUUGAACGCACAUUGUGCCCGCCAGCAUUCUGGCGGGCAUGCCUGUUCGAGCGUCAUUUCAACCCUCGAGCCCCCCCGGGGGCCUCGGUGUUGGGGGACGGCACACCAGCCGCCCCCGAAAUGCAGUGGCGACCCCGCCGCAGCCUCCCCUGCGUAGUAGCACACACCUCGCACCGGAGCGCGGAGGCGGUCACGCCGUAAAACGCCCAACUUUCUUAGAGUUGACCUCGGAUCAGGUAGGAAUACCCGCUGAACUUAAGCAUAUCAAUAAGCGGAGGA